RNAcentral lists this long non-coding RNA (1982 nucleotides) under Calidris pygmaea (Spoon-billed sandpiper). RNAcentral's name for it is "lncRNA (ENSCPGG00000000074.1)". Lineage: Eukaryota; Metazoa; Chordata; Aves; Charadriiformes; Scolopacidae. The record is from RNAcentral.
CCAGCACUUGUCAGGUCAUUACAGGAGGCAAAAACUGGGGCAGAAGUGUUGUAAAGCAGCUCACCAGGUGAAAUUGGUGCCUCGUUCAGUGUGGAAUGACCCCAAAUCUGGCUGGUUUCUCCUGGUUCCUCCUGAAGUCAAAGCAAGCCCUUGAAAGUUCACCGGUUCCUCAGGGUUUCUAAACCUCAGGGCUUCAGUUCUUUACGACGAGAACCCGUGCUUGUUUUUUAUCAUCUCCCCUUUGCAGCCUACACCCAUCCUGUUUGUGUGGUACUGAGUACGUUUGCCUUUUUUCCCAGGAAAGGAAGAAUUGAAACAUCUAAUGUUUCAUCUGUUCACCCAUGAAAUGCUGUGGAUCUCCUCUCUCCUCCUGUUUGCCGCCUCCAUCAUCUGGAUGUGGGAAGAAGGUAGGAGUCAUUUCACCUGCUUUAUUCUUGAUUGCUUCAGUGUCUCAUCUUUCUUUUUCCUCCAGGUCUUGACAGUAGCAUCUUUGAUGGAUAAAAACAAUUCUCAGCUGUAGGAUGUGGUCCCCUGGCCAGCAGGACUGAGCCAGUCCCACUUCCAGACCCAUCCCCAGGCCAUAGGGAACCUUCUUGGCUGCAGUCCUGCUGCCAUUGCACAGCCCCGUUGCAUGGGGUGGUGGACCCUGCACUCCCAGACGCAGCAGUUGGGUGCGGGGCCACCACAAGCCAACUUUCCUUGCCUUGUUCUCAGACCUACCCCAGUUUCUGUCUCACCUUCUGGUUUACUCUGCUCCCGCAGGUCUUUCUGCUGCCUUCUUCUUGUUUGGGUUGUUUUUCUUCCUUGCGGCGCUAGGAAGCGCCCAGGUGGCGGUGGCAGUGGUGUGGAGACCAGCAGCUCUCGGCCACUUCAAAAACACAGUGUGGCACCAAGUUACCCGGAACUCCAUAGCCCCCACAACGCUGAUCAUCAGCUUGUUGUUCUCCACCCUCUUGCUCCACAAUACCCAGCAGCUCCAUGAGCGAGGCUGCUCAGAGGCCGUCGAUCUGACCCUCAGCUGUGUGUUGGCUGCAGUAGCCAUCCUCCUAACGCUGCUGGUGCACAUCCUCCUGUGCUGUAAGUACCCCUGUGGCUUCCUUCUAGCAACUGUCACGAUCUGCCCAGCCAUGGAGACACUUGCAGGCUCAGCUCUCACACCCUCCCCCACCAGCAGGAACAAGGAAAGAUGCUUUUCAGUCAGAUAACAGCUGGACUUUUGAAGAACAGGAUUGUUCAAGUCAGCUGAGGACCCAGCUCUGGUGUCUGUCCUUUUAGAAAAGCCACCAUAGACACUGGUACCUGUCUGUGGUCCUCGUCAGCACCUCUCCUUUGUCCAUGGAUGCUCAAGGAGAGCGAGUUCCUCCUCCAGAACGGCCUACCAUGGUCUUCCCUAGUGAUAGCCAUACCCUGGUCAAAAAAUCCUUAGCUACAGCAAACUUUGGGAGGAGAAAACUAUCUGAUAGACAGGUAAAAAUAGGUCUGGGAACAUCUUAUGACCCAGGAGAACAGCUAACCAGUCAUUCCAGUGAAGUGGGGCUUCCAGAGUGAGCUCUGGGUGGGAGGGCAGAGAUCAGGGAGGUGAUUUCCACGUGUCUACCUUCUUCUUUUUAAAGUUCCUGGUUUCUGUUCUCUCGCCACGUGAAUCCCCUUUGUAGCCACAAUUACCAACUGCCUCUCGCCUCCGCCUGCACAGGCUCUGUGGUGGCCCAGUCUUGAGGACCAGCUGGCCAUCCCAGUGGGCUUCCUGAGAACACUGGCUCAGCCUUCGGGAUCACACGUAGCAUCUCAGGGAACUGGCAAGAAGGGGGGUCAACAGCACGUUGGGGGGAGGAGGCCCUCAAGGAGGGGAUUGAAAGGAGACCCUUGGGCUUCUCCAGAGCAGAGAAAGCAUUUCCAAGUCUGAAAUAUGGGAAAUAUUGCACCGAGUCCCUAGAGCCAAAGGAUUUGGACCCAAAAGGGGUCACCUCCAGAGGGGUGAAAAG